GGCUGGUUUAUCACCUUGCAGAGGGAUUCCCUGUCUCAAGGGAAAGAUGUCUACUUCUGGAUUCUCAUUUUCAAUCUCACAAUUCCAAGACUAUUGGAGAGAAAACGAAAGCUUUCCCUUCCUAAAUGUGUGUAUCAUCUGAACAGAAGCCAACUUUUCUCAGCAACAGGAAAUACCUUCAGACACCGACAAAUGCGCCCUGGGAACAAAACUGCCACCUGUGAAGAAAUACUGGUCUAGAGAACGCUGUGGUCUCUUAGGGAGCAACCCAUUAGUAACCAUCGUCGUGGUCGUGAUGAAGUGACAUGUCCAAUCAGCUCAGGUCUAUUUCCUUGGGUAUACGCCCACAGUAUCGGGUCACUAUUUGCUCAUGGUAGGCGUGUCUAGUU
Molecule: non-coding RNA, 389 nt
Organism: Peromyscus maniculatus bairdii (prairie deer mouse)
Lineage: Eukaryota; Metazoa; Chordata; Mammalia; Rodentia; Cricetidae
Source: RefSeq, a predicted model, not a curated record